Long non-coding RNA from Pungitius pungitius (ninespine stickleback), 1559 nucleotides. RefSeq lists it as uncharacterized. Lineage: Eukaryota; Metazoa; Chordata; Actinopteri; Perciformes; Gasterosteidae. The record is from RefSeq and is a predicted model, not a curated record. The transcript has 3 exons.
AUAAACAAACUCCAAAUAUUGUUAUACUUUGAAAGCUUUUAAAUACUUAUAAUUCAUGAUUGAUCAAAUCAAACGUCUCACUUACUACAUUUAAGUCUAAUUAAAAGUUGGUGGAUUUCUUUUGGUCUGUUUCAGCGAGCUUCAGUGAUUCACUUCUUUGUCUCACAGGGUUUUUAUAUUUAUUCUGAAAUGCUAGAACACCUUUCUGUGGGUCACAUUUGAAAUAAAAUGUGCUUCUGUGGAAUAAAGAAUGGAUCCUAAACAGAAGCAGAAGUUCGAGAAAAGCUCACAUGUGAUGUUCAUCUGUUGUCUGCAUUUCCACGUUUCUCUGCAUGUUUCACACCUUUCAAACUGUCUCUUGACACGAAGCGUUUCUCACAAGCAGCGAGUCAGAGAGUCAGAGAGGACGUGAGGACGUGAGGAUGGGACACACUUUGUUUGCUGUGUGGGGGCUUUUCUUGCUGAAUAUUCUCCUCCACUGUGGACACGCUCAAGAUGUUUUGCUGCAUUUUGAGCCAAACUGGUCCCCUUUAUUUACUGGAGAGGAAGUUACCUUCAUAUGUGACUCAAGGGAAGGAAACAAUGCUGACUGGUAUUAUACAUUCAGUAGUAAUGAUCAUUGGUUUUCCUACAAAGCACCAAAUAGAUUUACAUUAUCAUCUCUAACUAGAGAACAUAGUGGUGAAUAUCAGUGUGUUGCUGAUCACAAGUUCCCUCCCUACGUUAGAAGAGAAAGUAAUAAAGUCUCUCUAAGUGUUUCAGGUAAGUGAUCAAAGUUUUACCAUCACGACGAGUUCAUUAAAGCACUUUUAUAUUAAUGAGACGUGUUGAUUUAAUAAACCUGUUUGAUGAAGUGUUAAUGUAAUAUAAUGUAGUGAUAAUUAAUGAAUGUUAACUAGUUUAAGAGGAAGUUGACACUGAUGCUGAUUAAUUAGCUGAGCUUUGUUUAAAAGGAUCAAUUAAUUAACCCUGAAAAAAAAGACAAACAUCCCAUAUUUUAUCCGUAUUGAUUCAUUAUAAAUCACUUAUUGAUUCAUUAAAACUUAAAUGGAUCAAACACAUCAGUAGAGUGGCGCCUCCUUCAGGUGAAAUGUACUCAUUACUCAGUGAACCUUUUAUUAUUUAUUACAUACAUUUAAAUUUACCACGUUAAAUUAUAAUUGAGUUACUGUGUUUAAAGACAUUGUCCCCAAACACCUGUUGAACACAGUUGAAGACAGAUAAAAAGACAGAGGACAUCAGCAGUGAAAGUAAUCCACCAAGGACUCAUCAUAACACGUCUUUAUUCUGUGAAACCUCUUUCCAACAGAUGUCCCUCAGCCUGUCCUCACAGUGUCUCCAUCAUGGCCGAGUCCUGGAGACUCAGUGACUCUGACCUGCAGUGUUGGACCUCCGUCUGCAGGAUGGAGGUUCUUCUGGUAUAAGGCUGUUCCCAAACUGUCAUCCUCCUACACCUAUGAGCUUCUAGCUGGUAGCACCACUGGGACUGAACAGGGUUCCUACAUUCUUCAUGGACAGACACACACAGCAGGAUAUGUGUGCAGAGCUGGAAGAGGAGA